UAUCCCUGGAAUGUUCUACCUUCUCAGACUCAUACUGCCUUCCAACUCCUGUACCCCCCUGCUGCUUCCUGCCUCUGGAUCUGGGGGCUCCAGGGACCUCCUGUGGUGACGGGCUCAUAUUAGGCAAGGUGAUUUUAAAAAGCAGCGUGUCUAUUUUUGGAGAGAAGGGGCACUUGCUCUACCUGUUAGACAUACUAUAAGGCUAAAAGCAUAAUCGAUCCCUGGAAAAGAAGGAACCUCCAAACAGACCCCUGUGUGUCUGGGUUUUCACAUAAUAGCACUUCAGGGUGGCCAGGAGAGGCCCUGCCUCUGACGGGUCCAGACCCUCUUCCGUCCAGGGCAGUUAGGCCCCAUCUAAAUGCACGGGAAGGCCCACUUGUAAGCAAGUAACCAUGUGGGUACUUAAGGGCCAUGAAAAGAAGUUUUUGCAAAUCUCAUAUCUGGUAAGGAACCAAAAUCUACAAACAAGUCACUUCACAUCUACCACGAGAGCUUCACUCAAGGAAGGGCCUGGGGUUGGACUCAGAGGUAGAGCACCUGCUCAGCACCUGCAAGGCCCUGGGUUCCAUCCUCAGCACCACACAAAGAUAAAUAAGUAAAAUAAAGGUGUUGUGUUCAGUUACAACCAAAAAACAAGCAUUAAAAAAAAA
Molecule: long non-coding RNA, 650 nt
Filed under: Marmota monax (woodchuck)
Lineage: Eukaryota; Metazoa; Chordata; Mammalia; Rodentia; Sciuridae
Source: RNAcentral